UAUUAAAUAAAAUGAAUAGUGUUCAUGAAUAUGAUACAAAAAUAUCAUCUAAAUACAAGAAAAGAAAUACACUGACCAACAUCUCACAGAGAUUGGCUGAACAUCUAGAAAUAAAUGACGACCAACAAGCAGUUCAAUUUUUGGGUUUGAUAUCUUUAGUCGGUUUCAUACUACUACUAAUCAUAUUCACCGGGCUUUAUUUAUUUCUCUAUAAACGAACAGAUAAUGUUCGAUUUCGAUCCAAAUCCAAUACAAAUGACAAUCAGACUCAAAGAUACUGUUAUAACUCGAACGAUUCAUUAUCGUCUGAAAGAUUUGAUAGCGAAUAUUCGACAUUGCUUUCGGGCAAUUUCAAAGAAAUCGCUGUACCUCCAUACGAUACAGAAAAGAAAAUACUUGUCAAUCAUGUGGUAGGUAAACGAGCAAGUCACACGGAAAAUUAUUGGAAUUCACACUAUACUUUACAACCAUGAUGUUAAAGAAAUAACCUAAUUAAUUAUUCAUCAAUCACCGCGAUUGCCUCAAUUGUGCUAUGAUUCACAGUCUCUCAUGAAACUCUUUUUUUUUUCUGAUUAUUUAAGUUUAAUACCAAUUAUGAUUAUUAUUGUACUGUUGUUGUUUGCUUUUAUUCUUAAAUUUUAUUGAUAUGAGUAUGAUCUCUUGACAUUAUGUUGUUGUACAAAAGGUCAAAUCGAACAAAUAAAAUGUUAAUUGGUUCUGAUAGGACAAAAUAGUUAAAAAUAUUUUUUCUAACUAUGAUUAUUCCAAGUGGCAACCGAUCCAUAUAGUUGCAGACGAACAAGAAACAAACAAUAAUAUAGUGUACAUUGGCAGAGGUUGCCAUACAAAAUGUUGGUGCACUACCAUUCCACUUAUCAGAGCGUGAUUAUCUGACCCGAUUCAAGCCAAUCAAAAGAAAAUUAUAGGGAAGAAAAUAAAGGACGCAUUGAGGAUUGCAAGCAUAUAUGUUAAAGGAGCCUACCAUUCAUUCCUUAAUAAAAUAUUCAAUAUAUAAAUAGAAUCUGAAACUUCAAAUUCUUAGUUGAAAAAUUAGUUUUUGUUCAAAAAGUCAGUAUAUAAAAAGAAAACAUUUUGAUGCUAAUUAAAAGGGAAUUAAAAGUGAUCUCUGAAGUACAAACACAUUAUAUUCUUAUACGUACCUAGUAUAAUAAUCAUUACUAUCUACCUACCUUAAAUAAAUAAUGACAAAUUAAUGAAGGAUGGCAAUUUAUUGAAACAUUUCAUACAAGUAAUUGUUCUUAUUCAUAGGUGUAACUAGAGCUUACAUUUGGGGGGGGGGGUAUAAUAUCCAAUAUCACACUGACCCGCAGCUACCUACAAUCCCACACAUCCAUCUACUAAUUAACAUUCAAGCAACAAUUGUUACUAUUCACUAUUAUAAGUUCAGUUCUCAAUUUGAAACAUAAGAUUCUAAAACUUGUUAUUUUUAAUCUGGAAGAGCUAAUAAAAUAUUUAGAGAGGUUAAGCUCCAAUAAUCACACCUCGUUAGUUGAACCUAUGUUCCAAUCUUUUAUUAUUUUUAAGUUAACGCUAAUCUAUUUAAUUUGAAGAUUUAAAUGUAUUUAA
This is an RNA transcript of Sipha flava (yellow sugarcane aphid), 1587 nucleotides long. RefSeq lists it as uncharacterized. The record is from RefSeq and is a predicted model, not a curated record. The transcript has 3 exons. NCBI's taxonomy places the organism in Eukaryota, Metazoa, Arthropoda, Insecta, Hemiptera, Aphididae.